RNAcentral lists this unclassified non-coding RNA (372 nucleotides) under uncultured Gammaproteobacteria bacterium. RNAcentral's name for it is "contains 16S-23S intergenic spacer region". Lineage: Bacteria; Pseudomonadati; Pseudomonadota; Gammaproteobacteria. The record is from RNAcentral.
UCCGGUUUGUCACCGGCAGUCUCCCUAGAGUGCCCUUGCGUAGCAACUAGGGACAAGGGUUGCGCUCGUUGCGGGACUUAACCCAACAUCUCACGACACGAGCUGACGACAGCCAUGCAGCACCUGUCUCCGCGCCCCUUGCGGGGUUUCACCACUUUCAUGGAUAUGCGCGGGAUGUCAAGCCUAGGUAAGGUUUUUCGCGUUGCAUCGAAUUAAUCCACAUAAUCCACCGCUUGUGCGGGUCCCCGUCAAUUCCUUUGAGUUUUAACCUUGCGGCCGUACUCCCCAGGCGGUCGACUUCACGCGUUAGCUUCGUUACUGAGAGUGUCAAACCCCCAACAACCAGUCGACAUCGUUUAGGGUGUGGACUAC